UUGUCUCGGCCGAAAGCAGAGACAAGUCUCUCCCAACACCUGCGCCAACAGAUGUGCUACCGCCAGAACAAAGGCUACGCCUUAAUAUGCAUGUCAGCGAACGGUUGAACACUGAUUGCGCUUACUUAAAUUCUAAUGAUGUUCAUUUUGUCGCACAGCGCCGGGCUAAUGAUUUACUUCAUUCCUAUGACGAACGAAGCCACAUUGCUGAACCAGCCACAAGUACAACAAAAGGAUGGCUGAGGAGAACACAGUCAAUAUGAAUAUCAGAUUGCACCCCUUGAUUGUUUAGUGUGUUUGAUACGAGGCAUAAUAAAGUGUCAAGGGGUUGGCUUCAACCUAGAGAGAUAGCCACACAGCACCUGGAGAACUACUGGAGUCAGCACUGAAACUGUACAAAUCGAGAACUGCCAGUGAGGAUCAAGACCAUUCCAUGAAGGACGGUACCCUAAGUUCUUCACACACACUUCACACAAAGAUGGUGUGAGAAAGUGGUUCCAAAGAUGGCACCCAACACAGCGCAUGUUCCCGCGCCAAUGAAAGUUGCCAUCCCAAAAUUCACAUAAGCACAUAACAUCUCGCACCAACCUUGCAUGAAGAUUGAAAUCGCAUGUGCUUCUCAUCCCAUAUCAUGCCUUGGGAUCCGAGCAAGUGAGAAUCAUUCAGCAAAGGGAAAGUUGAUCCAAAAUGAUCAAUGAAAAAAAAACAGAGGGCAAUCACGCACUAGUGGUGCAUAGACUGGGGAAACAAUGGAGCUGGUGGCCUUCCCGUCCUCCUUGCCCUUUUUGCUAGCUCAUUGGAAGUAACUAAUAAAGCGCUGCUUCUUGACACGACCUCCGA
Molecule: long non-coding RNA, 840 nt
Organism: Rhipicephalus microplus (southern cattle tick)
Lineage: Eukaryota; Metazoa; Arthropoda; Arachnida; Ixodida; Ixodidae
Source: RefSeq, a predicted model, not a curated record